GGACCAGGUGUUACGGCACU
This 20-nucleotide non-coding RNA is filed under the name Arabidopsis thaliana (thale cress). The record is from RNAcentral. Lineage: Eukaryota; Viridiplantae; Streptophyta; Magnoliopsida; Brassicales; Brassicaceae.